GGAGGGAUCAUUAAAGAGUGUAAAAACUCCCAACCCAUGUGAACUUUACCUUCCCCUCGGGCCCCUGAAAAGGCCCCUGGGCGUUGCUUCGGCCCCUGGCAACAGGGGUCGGAGGUACCAAACUUUUGUUUUUAAAGUAUCUCUGAGGCCUAUUGGCAACUAUAACAACUUUCAACAACGGAUCUCUUGGCUCCAGCAUCGAUGAAGAACGCAGCGAAAUGCGAUAAGUAUUGUGAAUUGCAGAAUCCAGUGAAUCAUCGAAUCUUUGAACGCACAUUGCGCCCGCCGGAAUUCCGGCGGGCAUGCCUGUUCGAGCGUCAUUUCAACCCUCAAAUCCCCCGGAUUUGGUGUUGGGACGUCCGCGUCAGCGGGGGUCCUCAAAUCUAUAGGCGGUACCGCACGGCACUGAACGCAGUAAUCUUUAUUCGUUUGGUAAGUCGGGCGGCUGCUCGCCUCUAAACCCUUCUUUCUAAGGUUGACCUCGGAUCAGGUAGGAAUACCCGCUGAACUUAAGCAUAUCAAUAAGCGGAGGAAAAGAAACCAACAGGGAUUGCCUCAGUAACGGCGAGUGAAGCGGCAACAGCUCA
RNAcentral lists this ribosomal RNA (587 nucleotides) under fungal endophyte. Its description in RNAcentral is "eukaryotic LSU rRNA". The stretch from base 167 to 320 matches the Rfam family "5.8S ribosomal RNA". The record is from RNAcentral. Lineage: Eukaryota; Fungi.